RNAcentral lists this RNase P RNA (338 nucleotides) under Actinomycetota bacterium. RNAcentral's name for it is "Actinobacteria bacterium RNase P RNA component class A". It matches the Rfam family "Bacterial RNase P class A". From Rfam's summary of the family: Ribonuclease P (RNase P) is a ubiquitous endoribonuclease, found in archaea, bacteria and eukarya as well as chloroplasts and mitochondria. Its best characterised activity is the generation of mature 5'-ends of tRNAs by cleaving the 5'-leader elements of precursor-tRNAs. Lineage: Bacteria; Bacillati; Actinomycetota. The record is from RNAcentral.
UGGGUCGACCAGGCGGUCGCGACAUUGUCGAGGAACGUCCGGGCUCCAAAGAGCGAAGUGGUGGGUAACACCCACCCGGGGUAACCCGAGAGAUAGUGCAACAGAAAGCAAACCGCCCGCAAGGGUAAGGGUGAAACGGUGGUGUAAGAGACCACCAGCAGCGGAGGUAACUUCGCUGGCUAGGUAAACCUCACUUGGAGCAAGACCAAGCAGAAGGCGUUUGAGGACUGCUCGUCCGAGUCUUCGGGUAGGUCGCUAGAGCAACUGAGUAAUCAGUUGCCGAGAUAGAUGACCGUCCGCGCAAGCGACAGAACCCGGCGUACCGGUCGGCCCAUCAA